This 759-nucleotide ribosomal RNA is filed under the name uncultured bacterium. RNAcentral describes it as "bacterial SSU rRNA". It matches the Rfam family "Bacterial small subunit ribosomal RNA", at positions 59 to 774 of the family's 1533-position model. The record is from RNAcentral.
CAGUCGUACGCACUGGCCCAACUGAUUGAUGGUGCUUGCACCGGAUUGACGUUGGAUCACCAGUGAGUGGCGGACGGGUGAGUAACACGUAGGUAACCUGCCCCGGAGCGGGGGAUAACAUUUGGAAACAGAUGCUAAUACCGCAUAACAACAAAAGCCACAUGGCUUUUGUUUGAAAGAUGGCUUUGGCUAUCACUCUGGGAUGGACCUGCGGUGCAUUAGCUAGUUGGUAAGGUAACGGCUUACCAAGGCGAUGAUGCAUAGCCGAGUUGAGAGACUGAUCGGCCACAAUGGAACUGAGACACGGUCCAUACUCCUACGGGAGGCAGCAGUAGGGAAUCUUCCACAAUGGGCGCAAGCCUGAUGGAGCAACACCGCGUGAGUGAAGAAGGGUUUCGGCUCGUAAAGCUCUGUUGUUGGAGAAGAACGUGCGUGAGAGUAACUGUUCACGCAGUGACGGUAUCCAACCAGAAAGUCACGGCUAACUACGUGCCAGCAGCCGCGGUAAUACGUAGGUGGCAAGCGUUAUCCGGAUUUAUUGGGCGUAAAGCGAGCGCAGGCGGUUGCUUAGGUCUGAUGUGAAAGCCUUCGGCUUAACCGAAGAAGUGCAUCGGAAACCGGGCGACUUGAGUGCAGAAGAGGACAGUGGAACUCCAUGUGUAGCGGUGGAAUGCGUAGAUAUAUGGAAGAACACCAGUGGCGAAGGCGGCUGUCUGGUCUGCAACUGACGCUGAGGCUCGAAAGCAUGGGUAGCGAACA